GUAAUAUAUCGGAACGUACCCUAGGGUGGGGGAUAACGUAGCGAAAGUUACGCUAAUACCGCAUACGCUCUACGGAGGAAAGCAGGGGACCGCAAGGCCUUGCGCUCAUGGAGCGGCGAUAUCGGAUUAGCUUGUGGUGGGGUAAAAGCCUACCAAGGCGACGAUCCGUAGCUGGUCUGAGAGGACGACCAGCCACACUGGGACUGAGACACGGCCCAGACUCCUACGGGAGGCAGCAGUGGGGAAUUUUGCGCAAUGGGGGAAACCCUGACGCAGCAACGCCGCGUGGAGGAUGAAGCCCCUUGGGGCGUAAACUCCUUUCGACCAAGACGAUUAUGACGGUACUGGUGGAAGAAGCACCGGUAACUCUGUGCCAGCAGCCGCGGUAAUACAGAGGGUGCAAGCGUUGUUCGGAAUUAUUGGGCGUAAAGGGCGCGUAGGCGGCGCGGUAAGUCACCUGUGAACAUCUCCAAGCUUAACUUGGAGCCUGCAGGCGAAACUGC
RNAcentral lists this ribosomal RNA (503 nucleotides) under uncultured bacterium. RNAcentral's name for it is "bacterial SSU rRNA". It matches the Rfam family "Bacterial small subunit ribosomal RNA", at positions 110 to 636 of the family's 1533-position model. The record is from RNAcentral.